This 547-nucleotide long non-coding RNA is filed under the name Anser brachyrhynchus (Pink-footed goose). RNAcentral describes it as "lncRNA (ENSABRG00000008896.1)". Lineage: Eukaryota; Metazoa; Chordata; Aves; Anseriformes; Anatidae. The record is from RNAcentral.
CUGGACUGAUGUUCUUUGUCAAAUAACUACCCAGCACAGCAGUCCCUCUCUCUACAUGAUGAAAGAGCUAUCAGGAGGCAGGAGUUCUGGCUGCUGGCCAGCUGUCUGUGGUUCCAGGCUGUUCGGGCAUAUCUCCUGGAGCAGGAAUCAGUGUUCGGCACUCUCCCCUUUCACAUCACACCACCUCAGCUGCUGGGCUGCACGGUUAGAACAACUAUGCAUCUUUGACACAGUGUCACGGAAACCUUUUUCAGAAGUCUGCUUGGAAGGAACUCAUUGUUCUAGCACUCAUGUGCUCCAGUUGUUUGAUAAAAAAGAAAAAGCUCUCUGUUGCAUAAAGAUACAAAUUAGACUGAAAUACAUAAACAUUAUCAAAAACUUGAUUUCUCUUCUGAUUCCUGUUUAUAUUACACUGGUGUGUGGUACGUAUACCUUGUAUACCUUUUACAUAUACAUGAAUAAAAUGGCAGGUGAAGAUACCUAUUCCCAUUUAAUGUUUAUUAUGAAAGUGAUUGUAACAAAUUUUUUAUUACAUGCUUCAUUUUGA